RNAcentral lists this ribosomal RNA (492 nucleotides) under Boana pardalis (leopard treefrog). RNAcentral describes it as "partial small subunit ribosomal RNA". It matches the Rfam family "Bacterial small subunit ribosomal RNA", at positions 794 to 1522 of the family's 1533-position model. Lineage: Eukaryota; Metazoa; Chordata; Amphibia; Anura; Hylidae. The record is from RNAcentral.
GCUUAGCCACAAACUUUUAAUUACACCCCAAACGCCAGGGAACUACGAGCAAAGCUUAAAACCCAAAGGACUUGACGGUGCCCCAUAUCCCCCUAGAGGAGCCUGUCCUAUAAUCGAUAACCCCCGUUUAACCUCACCAUUUUUAGCCAAAUCAGUCUGUAUACCUCCGUCGUCAGCUUACCGCAUGAGUGAACCAUAGUAAGUUUAAUGUAAUUUACCAUCAAUACGUCAGGUCAAGGUGCAACUUAUAAAGUGGGAAGAGAUGGGCUACACUUUCUAAUAUAGAAAAAACGGAAGACUACUAUGAAAACUAGUCUAAAGGUGGAUUUAGCAGUAAAAAAAGACCAGAGAGCUUUUUUUAAUCAGGCCCUGGGGUGUGUACACACCGCCCGUCACCCUCUUCGCAGCCAUACAGUAGUUAUUAACAAAUUUUGCAAAGUAGAAGAGGUAAGUCGUAACAUGGUAAGUAUACCGGAAGGUGUGCUUGGAAAC